RNAcentral lists this ribosomal RNA (371 nucleotides) under uncultured Glomeromycotina. Its description in RNAcentral is "eukaryotic LSU rRNA". Lineage: Eukaryota; Fungi; Glomeromycota. The record is from RNAcentral.
UUGAAAGGGAAACGAUUGAAGUCAGUCGUACCGACGAGAAAUCAGCUUAUCGUGUGUUAACUUGUGGGCGUGCGUGAGUUUCGGCCUCGCUGUUUGCAUGUUUGUGCGCUUUGGGUGUACUUUUUCGUAUGGUUGGCCAACAUCAGUUUCGAUCACUAUAAAAUGACUGGCGGAAUGUAGCUUCGAUUUCGGUUGAAGUGUUAUAGCCUCUGGUAGAUGUGGUGAUUGAGACUGAGGAUUGCAACGAAUAUCCUUUGGGCUAUCCGUCUGGCCUCUGAAAGUUGCUUGGGUGCUGAAAGCUUGCUUAUGGUUAUCUAAGUUAACGGUCAAUAGGUUAGAACGUGAUUACAUUCGUUAAGGAUGUUGACGUA